This 64-nucleotide transfer RNA is filed under the name Drawida japonica. RNAcentral's name for it is "tRNA-Leu". Lineage: Eukaryota; Metazoa; Annelida; Clitellata; Moniligastrida; Moniligastridae. The record is from RNAcentral.
AAUAAGUUGGCAGAAUAGUGCAGUUGAUUUAGGAUCAAAAUAUGAAUUUUUAGUUCACUUGUUA